AUAACUCUCAAAACCUGGUGUCAAUAAUAUAAGAACUACUAAUACAAUCUCGGAGUCAAAUACAUCAGAAAAAUAACCAGGAAAGAAAAUAUCUAUCUUCGAACACUAAUAAAAAACAUAACUAAUAUAGAAAGAUAGAAGUGAACUCUGGACGCAUGAAUGUCAAACCUCUACUUUGGAAGCUCCAAUAAUCGGCCGAGUUUAGCAAGUUGAAGCACACUUAGGCUAGGACCUGCACCAAAAGGGCGCAGUGGGCAUGCCCACUUGUACUCAGUAGGUAUCAUAGGCUGACCAAACAAAAUAGUAAAUAAAGUGUACAAAAUAUACACUAAGGCCACAUCACCUGCAAUCAGAAAAUAUCCCAUAACUGUAACCCACACCGCUUGCACUAAUAGUUUUAAUAUAUCACAUAUAUUAUAAUAUCACACCAAGAUAGAAAAUAAGUAUACAUUAUAUCACAUAUAAGUAGAAAAGGGGAGAAUAUAUAUAUACAAAACCAUCAAAUAUAAUUAAAGAAAGAUACGAUAAAUACAUAGAUGACAAGUCAAUAUGACAAUACAACACAACAUAACACAAUAAAGUAAGUGCAAUGUAUAUGAUAAUGAUGAUGAUGCAUGAGGUCGUCGCACAACCUCUGGGAUCGUCGCACAAUCCCUGUAUACAUCUACGGAGCUAAAGCUUCCCAGCUUAGGACCCAUGGGGGGUUCAUCAACCCGUAUACAAGCCAUAUAUCUCAUAUCUUCUUUUCGGCACAUCCCUCGGAAAGAGUUUUAUAAGGUAUUACAACAUCUCCUCUUUGAUACAUCCCUUUGGGAGGGUUUUUAAAAAAAUGUUGACAGUGUUAUACUGGUGUUGCCACGGUGGUACCAAUGUUUCAUGAAUGAGUAUGAUAUGAGGAUGUAAUUCUUACAACCAAUCAUAAUGAGUGUUUCACAAUCAACCACAUGAAAUAUUUCCACAACCAACAACAAUGAUAUAUUUCCACAACCAUGUGAGUCAAUAUCCACUCAUUAUUUUUGUUUUAUCCAUGAAUUUCCACAUGUCUCAUAUGCCAAUAAAGUAGGAAUAUAAUCAUAAUACACCAAUGGUACCAUAUUAAGCUUUUUAACAACAUAAAAUAAUUAUUCAUAUGUAUUCAAGGCUAUCAAUAUCACAUAGGACCCCAUGCGGUCACACAUAUCAUGAUAAAGCAUGAUAAAGCAUCAUCAGUGAGACUCCUCAUGAAUAAAUUAAUAAGAAUCUGCUCAUUUUUACCAACUCCAACUAGUUUGUCACAGUAUAGUUUCAAAUGGACUUUCGGAUAUGCAAUCCCAUUAUACAAUUCAAAUUUAGAAGGUUUGUACCCCUUCAACAGCUCAACGUCAUGGUGCAUGCACAGGUCCUCGUAACUUAUCCCUUUCAACCCCUUAUUGCUUUCAAGUUAUUCCAAUCUUUCAACCACGAAUUGCAUAAGGGUGGCAUUUUCUGGAGGUUUGGAUUCAUAUUGGUGAUGGUUUUCGACAUAAAUUGAAUGUGAAAUAUGAUUGUCUGGAUAAUGGAAAUAGGAAUAUUUGUGGUAAACAUUGGCGGCAUAUUCUGGAUGCAUGAUGUUAUUUGUGAAUUUAGUGGAGCUGGAUAUAUGCGAUAUUGUGGUGGGCAAAAAUAUGGAUGUUGGUUAUUUUUAUGAAGCAUAUAUAUGUGACUUGGAUUAUAUGGAGGUAGUGAAAUAGUAAGGGAUGUUACUAGAUGACUGUGAAUAUGGGAUGGGAUUUAAUAACGGUGUUACCCUCAGCUUGUGGUUUGAGAGAAGCAUUCAAAGUAAGGGAUAGAUUGGACAAGUUACGAGCUUGUGACAAUUCCCCUUCUAAUUGAAGGAUUCUUUGUUCCGUGCGUAAGAUCAUCUUAUUAUGCUCAUUUAUAGUUUCGUUGUUAUUACCCAUUUCCUUGUCUUCUUGACUUAGCUUUAAAAGAAGAAGACCGAGCCUUUGUCGACUAAUGUGAUGGGCGAAAGAAUACAUGAAUCAAUCUUUGGGGUGUAGGAGAAAAAUUAAAAUCAAUAAACAUAAAUAAAAAAAAGUCAAGUUAGUAAGGUGAAGGUGACAUAUGGUAAAAGAAUAAACAUGUUAAUUUGUAAGACUAAAAUAUUGUAUAAUGAAUGGAGCCUUAUUAAGUCUAAGGUACGCCUAGGAUGACAAAUAUAUGUGACUUAUGAUGAGAAACAAAAAGUAUGCACGGGAGUAUAGAAAAGAUAUUUUACUCAUUUGAGAAUACUGAGCUAUGCUCAUUCGAAGUGAAUAGAAGUUAUGAGAGCUCUAUGUAAAUUAGAGGUUGUGAAAAUUAGAGUAUGACAUGAGUAUGACAACAUCAUGAUGGGACAAAAGUAUGUAAGCGUUAGCAACAUUAGGAAAAGAAUAUCCUAAAAUAAUAGGUUGUAUGAAAAACCGUUCAUCAAAGCAAGAGUUGAGCCUAGGGAUGAGUAAUAUACUAACGGAUGAGUCAGGAGGAUAUUUUUGCUAGACCCUAAGAGUGUAUUGUAGGGUCCUAACAUGAUAAGAACUUUGAGAGUAAAGACUCUAAAAUAAGGAAUACUAAGAAUAGGGGGCGUUUAGGACAAGGAGGACAACAACAAUAUCGGUAAGAUAUAAGUGCAUACAUAGUAAUGCAACACAUAGCAAAUAGUAUUAUGCAUCCUUUUGGGGUCGUAAAACUCCUUGGACUUUGAAUGAGACUAACAUUCAACGCAUCAAGGGUGGCAAGGCAUCCUACGUUGAAUGGGAUGUAUAUUCCUUAAUAAAAGAAAUAUGUAGCCAAAACCUAAAGGGCAAAAGUGGGUUUAUGACAAAGUUCCCUCGAGUGGACAACUCGAGAGUGGAAAAGCUUAUGACUGUCGAUGCACUGUUGAUCGAUCGAUCCCCAAGGCAUUUUCUGAAGGGUCUUUUAGGAGAUAAAGUCUAUGCUACCACGCAACCGUUCAAAAAAAAAGAGGUUCCAAGUGAAGGAAAGUAUGAGCGAAAUGUCAGUUAUAUAAAGCAGUAACAUGUAGCACAUAGCAAAAUAUCAUAGCAUGCUUUAGCACUAUAAAAAUAAAUAAACAUCAAAGCACAUAACCAAUAAAAGGGGAAGUGCGGAAGGGAUAAACAUGGAUAAAAUCACAAAAAAGAGGGAGGAUGAAGAGGCUAACACGUAAACAUAAAACAUGAUAUAAGUAAUAAAGGGAAAAGAGAUAAAGUAAUUACGAAGAAAUAAAACAAAAAAAGGUAAUAGAAUCUCACAUAAAAUACAAACUCAUAAUGGUUAUAAUCUAAGAUCCCCUGCAGAGUCGUCAUUCUGUCAUGCUCCAUUUUUUGUCACAAAAAGCGAGAUUCGACCUGACUACUCUUUUGGGGCAAUUGUUUUGAAGAAAGUGUGAAGAGUCGACACCUAACGAAUUACGAAGCGUUAGGGCACCGGUCUAGGCUACUACGAACCUAUUUUGUUGUUUUGUAUUAAUUCACCAGAAAUUUGAGUAAGGGUUCAAAUUACCUCAAAAGGAAGGUGUUAGGUACCUUUUGAGGUCCACAAAGGUGAUUUCCGGCCGAAUUUGUAUUUUUUAGUGGGUAUUGUAUGUGAUAAGCAAAGGUCAAUUAUUUUAUUAUUAAUUUAAGGUUUAACUAAGUGAUAAAGUAACAAAUAAAUAAAUAUGUUAUUUUAUUGUUUCUAAUCAUUAACUAGGUGGUGAUAAAAAGGAUAACAAAUGAUAUAAAGUAGAGAAGCGAAGAGAAAGAAGGAAAAACAAUUUAUAACAAAAUAUUUAUUACUUUUAAAAACUACCCCAAGCAAACAAGCAAGUAAAGUAAAUGUAAAGAAAAGACAGAAUUCAUCAAAUCAAACAAAUAAAUAUUUUUGAUCUCAUUCGGAUCAGAACCCCAACUUGUUUAAUCCUUAUCCGACCCACUGGCCAAAUUCUUAAACAAGUAACAAUGUCAAAUGUCAUGUAAUAUCUCUGGAGAUCAUCACUUCCGAAUGACUACCCGUCCCACCCCACCUAGGCUGGUUGUCAAAUCUAAAGGCAUUCUAAGACAAGAAUAAAACUAACGUCUUUUAAAAUACCUAUCGUCCUACUUAUCGCCCAAAAGGCAUUGGGCUUUGCUAAUUCAGAAUUGUGGUCUAGACAAAAUAAAGCUAUAUUUCCUAGGACUCAAAACGCAUAAAAAAACAAGGACAUCAAAUAGCAUGUAAUGUCUCAAGUUAGCCUCCUGGUUAAUUAAAGAGUUGAUUAGGGUGAUUAACAUGCAAAACAAAUAAUUACUUAUUGUUUUGAUGUCAUUAAACUAUAUGCAUGAUAUCUAAAUGUUCAACAAUUGUUUAGUAUGACAAAAGAUAAUUGUUAAUCAUGUCUAAAUAAUGUGUUGUCAAAGUGAAGUAAAUAUGUCAAAAGUAAUGCUCAUGAAUUUCAUUGUGUAAGACGUGUUGUAAGCUAAUGACAGUGUAGGAAGUUAAAGUUACAUAUUGUAAAUUAUUACCGACAUUCAUUUUAAAUGUUGAACAGUUCAUUAACAUGCUAAAGAUGCUUUUAAAUGCUAGAAAAUGAAUUAACAUGUAGGAAUUUUUAUGUUAACAUGCUAAAAUUUUAAUAUUGAUAUGCUUAAAUUUGUAUUAAUAUGCUAAAACAUACGAUGACAUGUUUAAUUCUAAUGUUUAACAAGCUAAUAUGCAGGAAUUUAAUUUAGCAUGUCGGACGUUAGUUUGAUCCUAAAAUCAAGAUUUCUAAUCGAAUUAAUUAAUAAGUAGAUUAAAUGUCUAACCGAUUUAUGUGUUAAUAAACCCUAAGUUUGUGUGCCUAAAUGAUCCACGUAGCACGUAACACACAUAAAAACAUAAGUUGUGCCUAUCUAUACUAUUCAUAGAGCACGUAAGUCCCCGCCCCCAAGCAAUUCCCCAAAUUUAUUAUUACAUGUAGAUGUUUAUACAAUAAUUAUUACAAAUUCAAAAAUAAAAAAAUAAAAAAAUGUCUAAGUGAAAUAGCCUUAACCAUUCUCGAAUUCCGAGAAACUCUUCAUUUUACCUGAAUCUAAAAACUUAAAUCAGAACCUGUCAAACACAAGUACAUGCGCAAAAAUAUACUACCAUCUAAAUACAUUCUCAAGUCCAAAAGUUAUAAACAUCCAAAGGGAGACAUACAUGACAUUUAACAACAAACAGAGGAUCAUCAUAAUUCAGGACAAUAACUUUCAACAAUUAAAGCAUUAGGAAGACAUACCGGUAGGCGGCAACAAAUAAAAGAAAGCUCUAAUAAGUUGAAAUUCACGAUAGAAACCUCAAGCCAAGUAUUGCAAGGAGUAAAGUGUAGUAAAAAGUUUUUUUUGUAAAACUUUCUAUUGUGUAAGAGAAUGAUAGAGGAUGAAAAGCCAGUGUAAAAAAGAAGAAUGAGUCUGAUGUCCUCCCAAUAGUGAAAAAGAGUCUUGUUUUUAUAGUGGAUAGAAGAAUGAAUAAGUAAAGGACAGAAGAUAAAUCAAGGAUGAUUAUAGAAAUUAUUUUUCUUAAUUACAUAAUCAUAUCAAGAUUUAAAUAAAUCAAUCACAAUUAACAUAAUUGAUCACAUAAAAGAUUAUCCGACUUAUUUAAGGCAAGACAAAUAAGGAAGGAAAUUAAUCUCGAAAGAUUUUUUCAAACAAUAUGGUAAGGAUAAUAAAAAUUAGUCAAUUCAUCACACAUUACUUAGCCAACUAAUAUUCUCAGUUAAAUGUAAGAGUGAAUCAAGCUUACCAUGAAUAGAGAAGUAAGAAAAAAUCCAUUAUAGGCCAGCUAGAAUCAAUCACUAGUGACAUCAAAACUUUAACAAACAGCUAUCACACAAUUUCAAUAAUAAUGAAAAAAAAAUCAAACGAUCAUAUUUAGCAAGCAAAUACUAUACUAGACAGAGUUCAGAAUUAGGUGUCCCUGUGUACCCCAUUAAUUUUGAAUCAAAGACACUAAAUCAAUCACAAAUCAUAAAUCGAGAUUGAGCAUGAUUGAAGGCUAACUAAAUUUAUCCCCAACAUAACUCAUUGUGUCAAGCAAAGCCUUCAAACAAAAUGCAAUUAACAAAUCAGUGACCAUUAAUGUAAAAACUAAAAAUAAUCAUCGCUGAUAAAAUUUGGGCAUUUUUCAUAUAUGUUAGUCUAAGGGCAGAAACAAACAUGAAAUUUAAAGAAUAAUCUCAAAAAUCAAAGUCAAAUUUCACCGAUUUCAAAUCUAAGAACCUGUCUAAAAGAAUAAGGAUAGAAGAAAAGAAUAAAUUCAAAGGGAGAAACAACCUGGGACGAAUUCAAAAAAAAUCCAUCAAGAAUGUAGUGUUUUCCAACGAUGUUUGACCAGAGCUCGGCGGUGACAGUGGUUUGUUGCAUGGGGUUCGGACAUGACGGCGGCUUACCGGUAGUUGUCUUGAUUUUGCCGGUGGGCUUGAGUCGACGUGGCAGUGACAGCUGGAGCGGGGAUAAUGAUGAAGAUGAGGGAAAAGAGGUAGGGUGGCACGGCUAGUGCAAUUUCACCGGUGGCAGUGCUGAUUCGGGCUUUUACCAGUGGCUAGUCGCUUAUGCGCAUUGGUCGGCUGGAAUGGCAGUAACGGGAAGAGAAUGAAGAGAAGAUGGAGGAAGAGAGAAGAAGGUUGGGCAGCGAGGGUGUUGGCUUGGUCGGCGGUGGCUAGUUUUGUACGGUGGUUGGUGGUUGGUGGUUGGUGGUUGACAGAGGGAGCAAUGGUUGCUGGUUUUUAAAUAGAGAAAGAAGAGAGAAGGUGGAGAUUGGUGGCGGCUGAUGUUGAUUUUUUUUUCAAAA
Molecule: long non-coding RNA, 6771 nt
Filed under: Capsicum annuum
Lineage: Eukaryota; Viridiplantae; Streptophyta; Magnoliopsida; Solanales; Solanaceae
Description: long non-coding RNA (CANN_LNC012807)
Source: RNAcentral